Molecule: long non-coding RNA, 1297 nt
Filed under: Sus scrofa (pig)
Lineage: Eukaryota; Metazoa; Chordata; Mammalia; Artiodactyla; Suidae
Description: lncRNA (ENSSSCG00015026642.1)
Source: RNAcentral
AGAAACCUUUGAGUGAUAGCCUUGGGGGAUGUUUGAAAAAAAUGUUUUUUUUUUUUUUCUAUUUGAGCAGAACUCAAGAAAGUCUAUGUGGCAUGAGGGCUGAAGGGCUGUGGUCAUGGAGGAGAACACUGCUUCAGAAUAAAAGCUAUUACUUUAAUAAGAUCCUCCCAUCCCUCAUAAGGGCUCCCUUCACAUGGUAUAAGCAACAUACCCAAGAAUUUAAAAAUCUUUACCCAGCAGUGGAGUGGCCUUCAGCCUUGACCUGCAUCAAAAUCACCAUGAAGCUUUCUAUUAUUUUUUUAUUAUUUAUUGUUAUUGUUUUUUUUUUUUUCUCUUUUCUAGGGCUGCACCCUUGGCAUAUGGAGGUUCUCAGGCUAGGGGUCUAAUUGGAGCUGUUGCCGCCGGCCUUUGCCAGAGCCACAGCAAUGCCAGAUCCAAGCCAUGUCCGUGACCUACACCACAGCUCAUGGCAAUGCCAGAUCCUUAACCCACUGAACAAGGCCAGGGAUUGAACCUGCAACCUCAUGGGUCCUAGUCAGAUUCGUUAACCACUGAGCCAUAACAGGAACUCCUCAUGGAGUUUUUUAAAAAUGCAGAAGCCCAGGAGUUCCCUGGUGGCUCAGCAGGUUAAGGAUCUAGUGUUGUUACUACUGUGGCUCAAGUCACUGCUAUGGCACAGGUUUGAUCCUUGGCCUCUGAACUUCUGCAUGCUGCAGGACCAUCCAAAAAUCAAAACAAAACAAAACAAAGCAGAAACCUAGGCCCUGCCUCCAAAGUUCUGGUUUAAUCAAUCUUAGAAGCCACGCUUUUCUAUCUGUUUUUCAGUUUCCCAAGUCAUUCUGAUGUGUAGCUGAUUUGAAAUCACUAUUCUGUAACAUAAAAGUUUUAUGUGGAUAUCUGAUGUAUUUAUCAGUCUCCCUUCUAGUUAGGUUUGACUAUAUGUCUAAGUUCUGGUCAUGGGCUGUGAGCCAAAGGGUUAUAAAUGCAACUUCUCAGGUGUGCUCUUAAAGAAGCAUGACUUCCUCUUCUUUCUUCCCUUCUUGCUGGCUAGAAUAUGGAAUAUGGUAAUGCAAAUGUAAAUAGCCAUCUUAGACCAAGAUGACAGCCAUGGACCGAGAAUGGCAGAGCCACAAGAGAGAAGGAGCCUGGCCCCCAUCACCACAUGGCUGGAAUAUCAGCCCUAGACUGCUUACCUUUAAAUCAUGUGAGAGGAGUAAGAUUCAACCUUCCUUAAGGCACUGUUGUUUUCUUCUGGCGUUUGUUACAGCAGCCUAAUAUUUACACAACCUAAUUUAUA